RNAcentral lists this ribosomal RNA (204 nucleotides) under uncultured ammonia-oxidizing archaeon. RNAcentral's name for it is "partial 16S ribosomal RNA". It matches the Rfam family "Archaeal small subunit ribosomal RNA", at positions 471 to 675 of the family's 1478-position model. The record is from RNAcentral.
UAAUACCAGCACCCCGAGUGGUCGGGACGUUUAUUGGGCCUAAAGCAUCCGUAGCCGGUUCUACAAUCUUCCGUUAAAUCCACCUGCUUAACAGAUGGGCUGCGGAAGAUACUAUAGGAGCUAGGAGGCGGGAGAGGCAAGCGGUACUCGGUGGGUAGGGGUAAAAUCCGUUGAUCCAUUGAAGACCACCAGUGGCGAAGGCGG